Molecule: long non-coding RNA, 325 nt
Filed under: Musa acuminata (dwarf banana)
Lineage: Eukaryota; Viridiplantae; Streptophyta; Magnoliopsida; Zingiberales; Musaceae
Description: long non-coding RNA (MACU_LNC009324)
Source: RNAcentral
UUUACUAACUUUAAACACCAAAAUACUUCAUCACAUCCUAAUAAGUAUUAUUCUCCCAAAAUAAUAUCAUCACAAUGAAGUAAGCCAAAUGGAAUUAGGUACCAUAUAUUAGAUUCUGAAGGGACAUAACAAUUAUUUUGGUUACCUAAUCCAACAAAAUAUGAUUGAAAUAUCGAAAAAGGAUAUGAUGCUUCCAUACGAUGGCUUGAUCACAAGACUAAUCCACGCUUAUGACAUAGCUAUCCCACCUAACGAAGAAGUUAUGAAACUAGAUAGAUUUAAUGUCAUAAAUAAAAACCUACUUUGACCGUUGAGGUGUACUUUC